GUCCCUGAGUGUAUGUGGUGAACC
This 24-nucleotide microRNA is filed under the name Dasypus novemcinctus (nine-banded armadillo). RNAcentral describes it as "dno-miR-670-5p". Its record names the gene dno-miR-670-5p. RNAcentral also lists the same sequence under 7 other names. Lineage: Eukaryota; Metazoa; Chordata; Mammalia; Cingulata; Dasypodidae. The record is from miRBase by way of RNAcentral.